CAGAAGGUGGUUCGUCGACAAAUUUAACCGCAGACAUGCGACUCUCAGUCUUUUGGUCCCAGCUGAGCCGGCUGUCCUGUUCUAUGCUGUCCCGCAGCAGGUUCUCUGAAUUCAUCGAACGAAACAUCGAGCACAUGGAGGUGCCUCAGCUGCCCGGUUUCUGCUGGAAGCUGAAUGAGCCGGUUCUCGCGGAGGGAAAGAACGCCCAGACGACUCAGCUGGCCUAUGUGCGGCGGAACCUCGGAGAGGCGGUUGCGGUCCACAUUCAGGUGCCUAACACAAGCUGGAGCCUCCCUAAUGGAAUGUGACACACUACCAUGCUAGCAGCAACUGGAGCACAGGUGGUGGACAUAAGACUUCAUUUCUGGACAGCUUAUAAAAACAGUGCAAGAAAGAGAAGUCUAUAGCACAGAUGUGGACAUGUUUACCUGCUGUACAGCAACCACAAAACUAUAGCUUGUCAGAACUGCACGACGUCCAAAUUGCAAAAUCUGUUUAAAC
Molecule: long non-coding RNA, 501 nt
Organism: Ornithodoros turicata
Lineage: Eukaryota; Metazoa; Arthropoda; Arachnida; Ixodida; Argasidae
Exons: 3
Source: RefSeq, a predicted model, not a curated record